Pongo pygmaeus (Bornean orangutan) is the source of this 444-nucleotide long non-coding RNA. RefSeq lists it as uncharacterized. The transcript is spliced from 4 exons. Lineage: Eukaryota; Metazoa; Chordata; Mammalia; Primates; Hominidae. The record is from RefSeq and is a predicted model, not a curated record.
CUGGUGAUGGAAUUUCAUUCUUUUGACUUCUAGAUUGCCUGUGAAGAGCUGCUUCCUCGGAAGAGCACCCUAAGGCUGGGUGGCCACCAUCCUUUGCUUUGGCAGAGCGAGCCAGAAGGCCUAGGCACAACCCACUGUGUUUGCUGACAGCCAGCCUACCCUGGAGUUCCGGAGCAGCCUCCUAGGAAGACUGGGGAGCGGUAGAAAGAUGGCUCUGCUGAGAUGAGCUCUUAAUUAAUGCACUGAGAGCCUGCGAGUCCCACCUCUCAACAGGAAUGAUUGACGUCCAAGGAUACAUAAAUUACACUAAUUGAGCUCUGCCUCUAUAUAAGCUUUCCACAGCCAACUCAUCAGAGAAGCUAGGCUUGUACCACAACCAAUACCCCUGCUUGGCAACUCUAAUGAGCAAACUGCCACAAAAUUGAGAGAGAACACACCUUUUUG